This 105-nucleotide small nuclear RNA is filed under the name Nannospalax galili (Upper Galilee mountains blind mole rat). The record is from RNAcentral. Lineage: Eukaryota; Metazoa; Chordata; Mammalia; Rodentia; Spalacidae.
GUGUUGUGCUAGCAGCAUAUAUACUGCCAUCAAAUGAUACAGAGAGGAUCAGCAUGGCCUUUGCACAACGAUGAUAUGCAAAUUUGCAAAGUGUUCUGUAUCUUU